ACUACGGGAGGCAGCAGUGAGGAAUAUUGGUCAAUGGGCGCGAGCCUGAACCAGCCAAGUAGCGUGGAGGAUGACUGCCCUACGGGUUGUAAACUUCUUUUAUAAAGGGAUAAAGUGAGGCACGUGAGCCUUUUUGUAUGUACUUUAUGAAUAAGGAUCGGCUAACUCCGUGCCAGCAGCCGCGGUAAUACGGAGGAUCCGAGCGUUAUCCGGAUUUAUUGGGUUUAAAGGGAGCGUAGAGGGGUUGUUAAGUCAGUUGUGAAAGUUUGCGGCUCAACCGUACAAUUGCAUUUGAAACUGGCAGUCUUGAGUACAGGUGAGGUAGGCGGAAUUAGCGGUGUAGCGGUGAAAUGCUUAGAUAUCACGAAGAACUCCGAUUGCGAAGGCAGCUUACUAAACUGCCACUGACAUUGAUGCUCGAAAGUGUGGGUAUCGAACAGGAUUAGAUACCCCUGUAGUC
This 460-nucleotide ribosomal RNA is filed under the name uncultured bacterium. RNAcentral describes it as "partial 16S ribosomal RNA". It matches the Rfam family "Bacterial small subunit ribosomal RNA", at positions 338 to 795 of the family's 1533-position model. The record is from RNAcentral.